CACACGACUCUCAGCAACGGAUAUCUCGGCUCUCGCAUCGAUGAAGAAUGUAGCAAAAUGCGAUACCUGGUGUGAAUUGCAGAAUCCUGCGGACCAUCGAGUUUUUGAACGCAAGUUGCGCCCGAGGCCUUCUGGCUGAGGGCACGCCUGCCUGGGCGUCAUGC
This 164-nucleotide ribosomal RNA is filed under the name Hordeum comosum. Its description in RNAcentral is "5.8S ribosomal RNA". It matches the Rfam family "5.8S ribosomal RNA". From Rfam's summary of the family: 5.8S ribosomal RNA (5.8S rRNA) is a component of the large subunit of the eukaryotic ribosome. It is transcribed by RNA polymerase I as part of the 45S precursor that also contains 18S and 28S rRNA. Lineage: Eukaryota; Viridiplantae; Streptophyta; Magnoliopsida; Poales; Poaceae. The record is from RNAcentral.